RNAcentral lists this ribosomal RNA (492 nucleotides) under uncultured bacterium. RNAcentral's name for it is "bacterial SSU rRNA". It matches the Rfam family "Bacterial small subunit ribosomal RNA", at positions 774 to 1257 of the family's 1533-position model. The record is from RNAcentral.
AGGUAAUAGAUACCCUGGUAGUCCUAGCUGUAAACGGUGCACGUUUGGUGUGGGAGGCAACCCCUUCCGUGCCGAAAGCUAAACGCGAUAAAAACGUGCCGCCUGGGUAGUACGGUCGCAAGACUAAACUCAAAGAAAUUGACGGGGACCCGGCACAAGCGGUGGAGUAUGUGGCUUAAUUCGAUGCAACGCGAAGAACCUUACCAGGGCUUGACAUGUAUUGUAACCCCGGUGAAAGCCGGGCAGCAUGGAAACAUGCGCUUUACACAGGUGCUGCAUGGCUGUCGUCAGCUCGUGUCGUGAGAUGUUGGGUUAAGUCCCGCAACGAGCGCAACCCUUAUGAUUUGUUGCCACCGGUUCAUUCCGAGCACUCAAAUCAGACUGCCCAGAUUAACUGGGAGGAAGGUGGGGAUGACGUCAAGUCCGUAUGGCCCUUACGUCCUGGGCUGCACACGUACUACAAUGUCCAGUACAAACUUGAACCCGAGGCCG